GUGAAAAUGAUCACACCGAUUGUUAAUGGCGCUAAUGAAUUGCGCGUUGACAUCGGAAGCAUCGUGUAAGGUGUCGUGCAAUCUUCAUAAAAGUGACUGUCGUACUCACCCUUGUACCGGCAAUCUGUUGUUAGGCCGCGAGUAUCGUGAGAGUCGAUUCGUUCGAUCGAAGCUUGUUCCAAGAGUAACGGCGUUGGUGAUCCGUCGGCAGUCGGAUCGAUCGCAUUAUUCAAUCCGCGGCUGUUUGUUUUCGGUCUCACCUCGUAUGUUUAUAAGCAUACGUGAUAAUUGUCCAGAGACGUGCGGGCGUGUUGUGCAUUAGCAAUAGUUGCGGCCACCGGAUCAAAGUUUAUCGCUCGUCGCGACGAGAUGAAGGUAUCACAUGAAGGCGUCCGCGCGUACCCAUCGUUCGAGAGCCGUCCGUCGGCUAACGUCAUUGCGUUGAGUGGCGAGUGAGGCGGAUCGCAGCUCGCUUGUCGUUUCGCGUCAAUUUCCCGUCGUCGCGACAUAAUGAAUUGCGCAUCGCGCACAUCUGAAGUGUCUGGCAAGUGCAAGGGGCCGCGCGAUCUUUAUAUCAAUGUGAUUAGAGCGCCGUAUCUACCGGCAUCUUGUUAGAUCGCGAAUUUCGUUCGAUCGAUGCUUCGUUGUGCGAGCGACGGCGUCAGUGAUCCAUCGUCCGUCGGUUUGAUCGCGUUAUUCAACUCGCGGCUGUUUAUUUUCGGUCUUAAUUCAUGUGUUUACAAGCGUACGUGAGAACGCGAACGUAAUAAUCGUCCGGAGACGCAUGUGUUGUGUGUUAGCAACGGCUGCAACCAAGCCGUCGAGAGGUUAUGUUACGCCGCGCGGCGCGGCGUGAAGGAGACCGCGCGUACUCCUGAGCUCGAGAUUCGUCGUCUACCACGUUAACCUCCUCGACGGCGCGGGCGUCACGGGUGACGAGUGGAUGCGGAUAACGUUUUCGUCGUUGCACGUUAACUUCUCGUUGUCGCAAUCUAAUGAACUGCGGCGCCACUCCCUCGUGCACGGGAGUGACGUCCUGGAUGUCGCGCAAUCGAGGUGAUUAUUGCUAAGUAUUAGAGUCUUCGUAAGUGAGUGCUAGUGUCAUAAAAAAACAAGCUGGAACAAGAGAGGAAAAGGAGGAUCUGGGAGGCACCAGGCAACGGCAGAGCAACCACGAAAUAUAAGCUGUGUUAUAACUCCGUUGCUGUGCAUCGGUCCGAGUGAGGCUUGAAAACAGCCAGAUUUAUGAACGGACUUCCGGCCAAAUAAACACGCCUUGCGGGUGUGAGGAUGGCUUCGGCAUCCGCGGAAUUCGCGAGUGACAGGAUGCGA
This is a long non-coding RNA of Solenopsis invicta (red fire ant), 1332 nucleotides long. RefSeq lists it as uncharacterized. The transcript is spliced from 3 exons. The record is from RefSeq and is a predicted model, not a curated record. NCBI's taxonomy places the organism in Eukaryota, Metazoa, Arthropoda, Insecta, Hymenoptera, Formicidae.